UACGUAGGGUGCAAGCGUUGUCCGGAAUUAUUGGGCGUAAAGGGCUCGUAGGCGGUCCAUCGCGUCGGGGAGUGAAAAGCUGGGGCUUAACCCCAGUCCUGCUUUCGAUACGGGUGGACUAGAGGUAGGCAGGGGGAGAACGGAAUUCCUGGUGUAGCGGUGAAAUGCGCAGAUAUCAGGAGGAACACCGGUGGCGAAGGCGGGUCUCUGGGCAACAACUGACGCUGAGGAGCGAAAGCGUGGGGAGCGAACAGG
RNAcentral lists this ribosomal RNA (255 nucleotides) under uncultured bacterium. Its description in RNAcentral is "partial 16S ribosomal RNA". It matches the Rfam family "Bacterial small subunit ribosomal RNA", at positions 524 to 776 of the family's 1533-position model. The record is from RNAcentral.